Molecule: long non-coding RNA, 1006 nt
Organism: Centruroides sculpturatus (bark scorpion)
Lineage: Eukaryota; Metazoa; Arthropoda; Arachnida; Scorpiones; Buthidae
Exons: 3
Source: RefSeq, a predicted model, not a curated record
GAAAGAACUGUAAUACGUCGGCCAUUUUUGUGUGGAGAACGUAUCAAGAUGAGAUACCUUCGAUUAAACAAUGAAAAGUGAAGAUCUGAUAAUAAAACUCAAGUUAUAAAGAGAGAUCAUCCAAUAUAUUGUGGGAAAUGGCAUACAAUAAACGCUUAAAAGAACUAUGCAUCUGAAGUUUUCUUAAAUCCACACAUCUUAUGCCAUCAAUGAAACCAGAAGCGUGGGACUAAAAUGCAUAUUGUUAUUUAUCGUUAAAAUAAGCAAAUUAAUUAAAUGAGGAUGGAUUUAUGUUUUCUUGACUCAAUCCAGAAUUUAUAGGAAAAUCAUCUUCUACUGGAAGACCAGCGCCAUAUUUCGUCCAGUGUCUGAAUUUUGAAAUGAAAAUUGUUUCGAAUUCGAAACAGCAUACUCAGGAUAGAAUUCUUGUCAAAUUUGGAUACGAUUUUCCAAUAAUCCUUUCUACAGAAAGCUCUGAACACUUGCUAAUUAAUUAUGAUUACCCUAUAUAUAUAUAUAUAGCCUAUAUUGGGGAUGUAUCAGGAGGAAAGGUGAUUCCUCAUAACAAGAGAAGUAAAAAGUCCACGAGGUCUCGUGCCCUAAAAUUAAUGGUGUCAGACAAAAUGCACAAACGUCACGCGAUUCGUGAAUACCUAGGUCUUCGGAUCUAACUUUGCUGCACUACUAUAUAUGUGCUGGAUGAAAGGUGAGUUGUAUCGAAAGAAGGUAGACUUCCGUGACCAACUUAUUGACUGGAUAAAUAUUACUGUCGCAGUUAUCGAAAAAUAUAAGGACGGUCUUCAAAGAAGUAGCCUAAACUGUCUUCGUGACCACUUCGAGAACCUCUUUCAUGUCACCAUUCCAUUCCGUCAUGGCUAAUCUUCAGGUGCAACAGACUGUAAGUGCAAUCAUAGCUGCUACAUUAAAGCUUGAUAUGUCAAAUUACGACAAAGUCAUGUCGCUCUAUCAGUAGUGGCUCAUGGGGUCUACUUAAGAGAUGACGUUU